AUACUUACCUGUUGGCAGAGAUACUAUGGUCAAGAAGGUGGUUUUCCCAGGGCUAGGCUCAUCUAUUGCACUUGGAUAUGAUGACUCUUGCAGUAAACUGGAAAACCUGACUACAUGAUAUAUGGUGGACUGGGGUUGAUUAAAAACAUCAAGU
RNAcentral lists this small nuclear RNA (154 nucleotides) under Microtus ochrogaster (prairie vole). Its description in RNAcentral is "U1 spliceosomal RNA (ENSMOCG00000011206.1)". It matches the Rfam family "U1 spliceosomal RNA". From Rfam's summary of the family: U1 is a small nuclear RNA (snRNA) component of the spliceosome (involved in pre-mRNA splicing). Its 5' end forms complementary base pairs with the 5' splice junction, thus defining the 5' donor site of an intron. Lineage: Eukaryota; Metazoa; Chordata; Mammalia; Rodentia; Cricetidae. The record is from RNAcentral.